Long non-coding RNA from Passer domesticus (house sparrow), 759 nucleotides. RefSeq lists it as uncharacterized. The transcript is spliced from 5 exons. Lineage: Eukaryota; Metazoa; Chordata; Aves; Passeriformes; Passeridae. The record is from RefSeq and is a predicted model, not a curated record.
UUAAGCGGUGUUUGUCCAUGCAGCCCUCGGACAGGCCAUCAUUAGAAGAGCUUUUCUGCCAUCCUUGGGUGCAGGGUGCUCCUCGGCCCUAGAAGAUGGGAGAGAUCCAUGUGCACAGUUGGAUCCAGGGGCCUGGCAGGGAAGGAGAAGGAGCUCCUGGAGAAGCUGUACGAGGUGGGGCUGCUGCUGGAGACAGCAAGGACAGCCUCAAGGAUGACAGUCUCUUCCUUGGCCUGGCCAGCUGAAGAAGAUGGACUUGGAUUCUGGCACCUUCUCUAAAGACACACUCCACACCCAAUUUGCAGCCGGGCUCUGCGGGUGCUGAGGCUGCUCUGGGCUCUGCCAGGGCUCUGCUGGGCUCAGCCCUGGGCACAGCUGGGCUGGCUCUGCCCUCACAUUGCUCUGACAGCUUUGCAUCAGACAAGCCCGUUCUGAGCACAGCGCCUGAGCUUUCUGCUUUGGCAGAGGUGCCACAAGUGGGCCAAAGCUGGCGAGUGGGCCAUGUCCCUGAGGCAGUGCAGUCUGGAGCUGAUGGAUGGAGAAUUGCCUUUCUGCACUCCCAAACCAGAGGAAAAAUCUAAAACAUGCUGUAAAAAAAGAGUGUCCUUUGCUCCUGGUUCCCAUGCGGAGCAGCUCCCUUCCUGCUGGCUGAGCUGCUCAGGCAGAGCCCGGCAGCUCCUGGCCAUGCAGGGCUGAGGCUUUUCCCCACUGCUGGGCACAGACUGAUGGAGCAGCACUGCUGAACACGGGCACACCCAG